This 301-nucleotide ribosomal RNA is filed under the name uncultured bacterium. RNAcentral's name for it is "partial 16S ribosomal RNA". It matches the Rfam family "Bacterial small subunit ribosomal RNA", at positions 509 to 808 of the family's 1533-position model. The record is from RNAcentral.
CAGCAGCCGCGGGAAUACGUAGGUCCCGAGCGUUGUCCGGAUUUAUUGGGCGUAAAGCGAGCGCAGGCGGUUUGAUAAGUCUGAAGUUAAAGGCUGUGGCUCAACCAUAGUUCGCUUUGGAAACUGUCAAACUUGAGUGCAGAAGGGGAGAGUGGAAUUCCAUGUGUAGCGGUGAAAUGCGUAGAUAUAUGGAGGAACACCGGUGGCGAAAGCGGCUCUCUGGUCUGUAACUGACGCUGAGGCUCGAAAGCGUGGGGAGCGAACAGGAUUAGAUACCCGAGUAGUCCCUGUCGCUUAUACA